Molecule: ribosomal RNA, 457 nt
Filed under: uncultured bacterium
Lineage: Bacteria
Description: SSU rRNA
Rfam family: Bacterial small subunit ribosomal RNA
Source: RNAcentral
AGAAUCAACGCUGGCGGCGUGCCUAACACAUGCAAGUCGAACGAGAAAGUGGAGCAAUCCAUGAGUAAAGUGGCGCACGGGUGAGUAACACGUGACUAACCUACCCUUGAGUGGGGGAUAACCUAGAGAAAUCUGGGCUAAUACCGCAUAAUACCUUCGGGUCAAAGGAGCAAUUCGCUUAAGGAGGGGGUCGCGGCCGAUUAGUUAGUUGGCGGGGUAAUGGCCCACCAAGACUAUGAUCGGUAUCCGGCCUGAGAGGGCGCACGGACACACUGGAACUGAAACACGGUCCAGACUCCUACGGGAGGCAGCAGUGGGAAUUUUGCGCAAUGGGGGAAACCCUGACGCAGCAACGCCGCGUGGAGGAUGAAGUCCCUUGGGACGUAAACUCCUUUCGAUCGGGACGAUAAUGACGGUACCGAGAGAAGAGCCCCGGCUAACUCGUGCCAGCAGCCGC